CCUACGGGAGGCAGCAGUGAGGAAUAUUGGUCAAUGGACGAGAGUCUGAACCAGCCAAGUAGCGUGAAGGAUGACUGCCCUCUGGGUUGUAAACUUCUUUUAUAAAGGAAUAAAACGAGGCACGUGUGCCUUUUUGCAUGUACUUUAUGAGUAAGGAUCGGCUAACUCCGUGCCAGCAGCCGCGGUAAUACGGAGGAUCCGAGCGUUAUCCGGAUUGAUUGGGUUUAAAGGGAGCGUAGAUGGGUUGUUAAGUCAGUUGUGAAAGUUUGCGGCUCAAACGUAAAAUUGCAAUUGAUACUGGCAGUCUUGAGUACAGUUGAGGUAGGCGGAAUUCGUGGUGUAGCGGUGAAAUGCUUAGAUAUCACGAAGAACCCCGAUUGCGAAGGCAGCUUACUAAACUGUAACUGACAUUGAUGCUCGAAAGUGUGGGUAUCAAACAGGAUUAGAUACCCCUGUAGUC
This 460-nucleotide ribosomal RNA is filed under the name uncultured bacterium. Its description in RNAcentral is "partial 16S ribosomal RNA". It matches the Rfam family "Bacterial small subunit ribosomal RNA", at positions 338 to 795 of the family's 1533-position model. The record is from RNAcentral.